This 72-nucleotide transfer RNA is filed under the name Marmota marmota marmota (Alpine marmot). It matches the Rfam family "tRNA". Rfam says of the family: Transfer RNA (tRNA) molecules are approximately 80 nucleotides in length. Their secondary structure includes four short double-helical elements and three loops (D, anti-codon, and T loops). RNAcentral also lists the same sequence under 2 other names. Lineage: Eukaryota; Metazoa; Chordata; Mammalia; Rodentia; Sciuridae. The record is from Rfam by way of RNAcentral.
GGAGAUAUAGCUCACUGGCAGAGCACUUGCCUAGCAUGCAGGGAGCCCAGUGUUCAAUCCUCAGUAUCACAA